GACGAACGCUGGCGGCGUGCCUAACACAUGCAAGUCGAACGGAACUGUUUUGAAAGAUUUCUUCGGAAUGAAUUUGAUUUAGUUUAGUGGCGGACGGGUGAGUAACGCGUGAGUAACCUGCCUUCAAGAGGGGGAUAACAUUCUGAAAAGAAUGCUAAUACCGCAUGACAUAUCGGAAUCACAUGAUUUUGAUAUCAAAGAUUUUAUCGCUUGAAGAUGGACUCGCGUCCGAUUAGUUAGUUGGUGAGGUAACGGCUCACCAAGACCGCGAUCGGUAGCCGGACUGAGAGGUUGAACGGCCACAUUGGGACUGAGACACGGCCCAGACUCCUACGGGAGGCAGCAGUGGGGGAUAUUGCGCAAUGGGGGCAACCCUGACGCAGCAACGCCGCGUGAAGGAUGAAGGUUUUCGGAUUGUAAACUUCUUUUAUUAAGGACGAAAAAUGACGGUACUUAAUGAAUAAGCU
RNAcentral lists this ribosomal RNA (467 nucleotides) under uncultured bacterium. RNAcentral describes it as "bacterial SSU rRNA". It matches the Rfam family "Bacterial small subunit ribosomal RNA", at positions 28 to 492 of the family's 1533-position model. The record is from RNAcentral.